UAUAAGGGGAUAGAAAGAAAGCAUAGCAUUGUACAUGUUUUUUUUUGUACAUGUAAGAACAACAGAAACGUUAAAUUCCAUGGACAAUAUAUUAUUGGUAGCAUAGGCGGCCAGAGGGGAGAACAUGACACUGGGGACAAUAAGGAGGAGAGGAACAAGACAAACACAGAGUCAUGAAAUUUUAUAUAUGUAUGUCUGAGAUACUAAUAAUUAAUUAAGUAAUGAAUGUGGUGAUGUGCAUGUUUCAGUGAAAAGUACAGAUAUUAAAUGUAAAAGACUUGGAUGAUUAACAGCAUCCAUUUGGAGCUUUGAAUGCAGCAAGUAAAGGGUAAGAAUUAGUGGUGUGUGAAGAAGAAGAUGAGAGUGAAAAAGGGAAGAGGGAAGAGCAGUUAGUUGGUGUUUGGAGUGUGUGAGAAUUAAUGCAGUGGUUCUAGAAAAAAGGUGGAGAAUUAGCUAAGGUAGGCCUGGAUUUGGUAUGUAGAAAUUGGCAAAGGAUUGAGAAGGGUAAGAGAAAAACAGGCAUUAAAAAUGGUAAGAGAUGGGAAGGUAGAUAGCUAGCUUUAUCGUGUAGAGUGUUGGAAGCAACAAGUGUGGGAAUCCUGGUGUCAGAUUUUAUUGGACCCUCUUCCCCCUCUUGGUUUUGUGCACUCAUCAGUACUGCCUCUGCCUCCAAUUGCAGUCUUCUUUCUGUGUUCUUAUGCUUCUCUCUCUCUCUCUCUCUUUCUGUUUGUAUGCAAGUGUCUCUCACGGUUAGAUUCUAAUUCAUCACACUUCUCUAUAUUUUCUGCAACCCCUUUUCAUCAUUUUAUCAUAUACCUUCUGUACAUGAAUUAUUCAUCAUCCUAACAAACAUGUCUUCUUUACUUUCAAUCCACUGUUUAAUCUAACCAAAAUUAGUACUGUGUUUGGUUUGAAGUACUCAUGCUACAAUUCUAUUGUAAAGACAAAUUUGAAGUUCAAUAUUUGUCUGCAAGUAUAUGUAACUCUCUCUCUCUAUAUAUAUAUAUAUAUUAUAUAAGUUUGGCUCCUUUAUUUAUGUUAAAGAAAAGUUUCUCUGGUUGAAUAUUUAGCUAAUGCCUCGAAGAACACGCAAACACUCUCAAACACACUGCUAUUGGUUUUGGUAUGUGGAUGGUGAGAGUACUGCAGACAAGCAUGUGCUGUGACUGAGCAGGCAUGUAGAGAGAGAGAGAAAAAAGAAAUGAGUUGAACCAAGAAGAGUAGGGUUUGUUUUGUUGGGGGUGUGAAUGGUGAUUAUUCUUGGAUUUAACACAAGCAAACACGCAUGUUAUAGUAGUUAUUAUUGUUUGUUCCCUGCCCAUAACGACAUGUAUAAUGUAUAAUAUAAUCUGUUUUUCAUUCUUGUGCUCCCCUUUUGAGGAGAAAUGAAAUGUUGGUUUGGUGUAACAUUCCUUUAUUUUUCUUUUUUCAGCAGCUUCAAAACAAAAU
RNAcentral lists this long non-coding RNA (1449 nucleotides) under Vigna radiata. RNAcentral describes it as "long non-coding RNA (VRAD_LNC009226)". The record is from RNAcentral. Lineage: Eukaryota; Viridiplantae; Streptophyta; Magnoliopsida; Fabales; Fabaceae.